This 905-nucleotide ribosomal RNA is filed under the name uncultured crenarchaeote. RNAcentral describes it as "bacterial SSU rRNA". It matches the Rfam family "Archaeal small subunit ribosomal RNA", at positions 21 to 903 of the family's 1478-position model. Lineage: Archaea; Thermoproteati; Thermoproteota. The record is from RNAcentral.
ACCCUACUGCUAUCGGGAUGGGGCUAAGACAUGCGAGUCGAACGCUCCUAGCCAUGAAGGAGCGCGGCGUACGGCUCAGUAACAUGUGGCUAACCUGCCCUUUGGACGGAACCAACCCCGGGAAACUGGGGCUAAUGUCCGAUAGGCGAAGAUGCCUGGAAUGGUUCUCCACCUAAAAGGCGUUGGGAUCAUGCUUUUCAACGUCGCCAGAGGAUGGGGCCGCAACCGAUCAGGCUGUUGGCGAGGUAACGGCUCACCAAACCUAUAACCGGUACGGGCCGCGGGAGCGGUAGCCCGGAGAUGGGCACUGAGACAAGGGCCCAGGCCCUACGGGGCGCAGCAGUCGCGCAAACUCUGCAAUACGCGAAAGCGUGACAGGGCUAUCCCGAGUGCCGUCCGCUGAGGAUGGCUUUUCUCCGGUGUAGUGAGCCGGAGGAAUAAGGAGAGGGCAAGUCUGGUGUCAGCCGCCGCGGUAAUACCAGCUCUCCGAGUGGUAGGGACGAUUAUUGGGCCUGAAGCGUCCGUAGCCGGCUAAGUAAGUUUCCCGUUAAAUCCAGCGAUCUAAUCGUUGGCUUGCGGGAAAUACUGCUUGGCUAGGGGGCGAGAGAGGCCAACGGUAUUUCCGGGGUAGGGGUGAAAUCUUAUAAUCCCGGGAGGACCACCAGUGGCGAAGGCUGUUGGCUAGAACGCGCUCGACGGUGAGGGACGAAAGCUGGGGGAGCGAACCGGAUUAGAUACCCGGGUAGUCCCAGCUGUAAACGAUGUGGACUAGGUGUUAGGGCGGCUACGAGCCGCUCUAGUGCCGCAGGAAAGCCAUUAAGUCCACCGCCUGGGGAGUACGGCCGCAAGGCUGAAACUUAAAGGAAUUGGCGGGGGAGCACCACCAGGGGUGAAGCUUGCGGUUU